UACGUAGGGUGCGAGCGUUGUCCGGAAUUACUGGGCGUAAAGAGCUCGUAGGUGGUUUGUCGCGUCGUCUGUGAAAUUCCGGGGCUUAACUUCGGGCGUGCAGGCGAUACGGGCAUAACUUGAGUGCUGUAGGGGAGACUGGAAUUCCUGGUGUAGCGGUGGAAUGCGCAGAUAUCAGGAGGAACACCGAUGGCGAAGGCAGGUCUCUGGGCAGUAACUGACGCUGAGGAGCGAAAGCAUGGGGAGCGAACAGGAUUAGAUACCCGUGUAGUCC
Molecule: ribosomal RNA, 274 nt
Filed under: uncultured bacterium
Lineage: Bacteria
Description: partial 16S ribosomal RNA
Rfam family: Bacterial small subunit ribosomal RNA
Source: RNAcentral